GUGCUCAUCUUAGGAUAAGACUGUCAGAUAAAAUACUAGACACUCUAUGAAACUUGAAUUUCAUAUAAAUAGCAAGUAAUUUUUUAGUAUAAUUAUGUCCCAAAUACUGCAUGGGACAUACUCAUACUAAAAAAAAUUGUCUAUAUGAAAGUGAAAUUUAAAUAGACAUCCUGUAUUUUUUUCUUCCUUUUUCUAGCAACCCAGUGAUUCCAUGGAAAGCAGAAAGAAGGACAUAAAGAAACGGAUACUUGGUGACAUCUUUGACUCACUGGAUCAAACCUUGCCUGAAGCUCACAUUUCUGAAAUUUCCAGAUACAAGAACAAAUACUUCCUCUUUAUUGUUUUACUAGAUUUGAGACAAGCUUUAAGUUUCUCAGACUCUUCCUCUUCCUAACAGAUUUAUCAGAAGCUGAAAGCUCUGAUCUUGUUGGGAUGCGGAUCGUGUCAGGAGAAGGCUUACUUUGCACGCUUUUCUUAGUCUGGUUGCCUAACUCAAGAACCUCGGCAUGGCUCUGUUACUUCUCUACUCAGACAAGCAUCCCUGCAGACACUCACUAGGCUAACUCUGUCUUUAUUUUUAGAAUUAGACCUUUACGAGAAGCACAGUUUUGUCUUCAGUUUCCUCUCCCCCCACCCGGAAUGGCCUGAGCCGAAGCCAGCUCCCUCCGAGAAGUCAUUACCGCCUGACUUGCGUUUGAUAUUUAGACACCUUGGUCACAACAUCUUGCAUUCUCUCGGGAUGCUGAUUUCUAACUGCUCUUUGGCCUUUCCUGCAUUGGUCCUCCUCAGGCAGGGGAUCCCUGCUCUUCUAUAUUAGUGAGAAAACCAAG
RNAcentral lists this long non-coding RNA (830 nucleotides) under Homo sapiens (human). RNAcentral describes it as "non-protein coding lnc-AAGAB-1:43". Lineage: Eukaryota; Metazoa; Chordata; Mammalia; Primates; Hominidae. The record is from RNAcentral.